AAUAAAAUAAGCUAAUUUAAGCUAUUGGGUUCAUACCCCACUUAUGAAAUAUUUCUUUUAUUA
Molecule: transfer RNA, 63 nt
Filed under: Galathealinum brachiosum
Lineage: Eukaryota; Metazoa; Annelida; Polychaeta; Sabellida; Siboglinidae
Description: tRNA-Met
Source: RNAcentral